Long non-coding RNA from Sapajus apella (tufted capuchin), 150 nucleotides. RefSeq lists it as uncharacterized. The record is from RefSeq and is a predicted model, not a curated record. Lineage: Eukaryota; Metazoa; Chordata; Mammalia; Primates; Cebidae. The transcript is spliced from 3 exons.
CCUCAAAUGUAAAUGGUCUAAAUGCCCCAAUUAAAAGGCACAGAGUGACAAGCUGGAUAAAGAAGCAAGACCCAAUGGCAUGCUGUCUUCAAGAGUCCCAUCUCACGUGCAAUGACACUUAGAGGCUCAAAAUAAAGGAAUGAAGAAAAU